GAUUAACGCUGGCGGCGUGCCUAAUACAUGCAAGUCGAGCGAACGGACGAGAAGCUUGCUUCUCUGAUGUUAGCGGCGGACGGGUGAGUAACACGUGGAUAACCUACCUAUAAGACUGGGAUAACUUCGGGAAACCGGAGCUAAUACCGGAUAAUAUUUUGAACCGCAUGGUUCAAAAGUGAAAGACGGUCUUGCUGUCACUUAUAGAUGGAUCCGCGCUGCAUUAGCUAGUUGGUAAGGUAACGGCUUACCAAGGCAACGAUGCAUAGCCGACCUGAGAGGGUGAUCGGCCACACUGGAACUGAGACACGGUCCAGACUCCUACGGGAGGCAGCAGUAGGGAAUCUUCCGCAAUGGGCGAAAGCCUGACGGAGCAACGCCGCGUGAGUGAUGAAGGUCUUCGGAUCGUAAAACUCUGCUAUUAGGGAAGAACAUAUGUGUAAGUAACUGUGCACAUCUUGACGGUACCUAAUCAGAAAGCCACGGCUAACUACGUGCCAGCAGCCGCGGUAAUACGUAGGUGGCAAGCGUUAUCCCGAUUAUUGGGCGUAAGCGCGCGUAGCGGUUUUUUAGUCUGAUGUGAAAGCCCACGGCUCAACCGUGGAGGGUCAUUGGAAACUGGAAAACUUGAGUGCAGAAGAGGAAAGUGGAAUUCCAUGUGUAGCGGUGAAAUGCGCAGAGAUAUGGAGGAACACCAGUGGCGAAGGCGACUUUCUGGUCUGUAACUGACGCUGAUGUGCGAAAGCGUGGGGAUCAAACAGGAUUAGAUACCCUGGUAGUCCACGUCGUAAACGAUGAGUGCUAAGUGUUAGGGGGUUUCCGCCCCUUAGUGCUGCAGCUAACGCAUUAAGCACUCCGCCUGGGGAGUACGACCGCAAGGUUGAAACUCAAAGGAAUUGACGGGGACCCGCACAAGCGGUGGAGCAUGUGGUUUAAUUCGAAGCAACGCGAAGAACCUUACCAAAUCUUGACAUCCUUUGACAACUCUAGAGAUAGAGCCUUCCCCUUCGGGGGACAAAGUGACAGGUGGUGCAUGGUUGUCGUCAGCUCGUGUCGUGAGAUGUUGGGUUAAGUCCCGCAACGAGCGCAACCCUUAAGCUUAGUUGCCAUCAUUAAGUUGGGCACUCUAAGUUGACUGCCGGUGACAAACCGGAGGAAGGUGGGGAUGACGUCAAAUCAUCAUGCCCCUUAUGAUUUGGGCUACACACGUGCUACAAUGGACAAUACAAAGGGCAGCGAAACCGCGAGGUCAAGCAAAUCCCAUAAAGUUGUUCUCAGUUCGGAUUGUAGUCUGCAACUCGACUACAUGAAGCUGGAAUCGCUAGUAAUCGUAGAUCAGCAUGCUACGGUGAAUACGUUCCCGGGUCU
This 1368-nucleotide ribosomal RNA is filed under the name uncultured bacterium. Its description in RNAcentral is "bacterial SSU rRNA". It matches the Rfam family "Bacterial small subunit ribosomal RNA", at positions 28 to 1381 of the family's 1533-position model. The record is from RNAcentral.